This 406-nucleotide unclassified non-coding RNA is filed under the name fungal sp. RNAcentral describes it as "partial internal transcribed spacer region". The stretch from base 1 to 46 matches the Rfam family "Eukaryotic small subunit ribosomal RNA", at positions 1786 to 1831 of the family's 1831-position model. Lineage: Eukaryota; Fungi. The record is from RNAcentral.
AAGUCGUAACAAGGUAACCGUAGGUGAACCUGCGGUUGGAUCAUUAAAAAUUCAACAGGAAGCUCCUCGGCGUUUAAGCCGGGAGCCCAUCCUUUGACACCCUUUGUGAACCAUUGAACCGUAUUUUGGCGAUCGUCGGUUAUGUGCCUCGCGUAAGCUUGCACUCUGAUUGAGGUUGAAUUCGCGCGCUUCAUUGAACGCGGGUUCUGUUUGACUUAACGGUUGAGCACCCCGGGCUAGGCGGGGGCCACUCUCACUCGGCCGUCCUGCUCUUGUUUGAGUGGGAUUGCCUUGGAUCGCGAUUCGCCACCUGGCAACUUAAACCACAUGUCUUAACUUUACAUAUCUGACUUAAAAUGAGAAAUACAAUGAGAAACAACUUUAGACAACGGAUCUCUUGGCUCUC